UUGUCAUCAGCUCGUGUCGUGAGAUGUUGGGUUAAGUCCCGCAACGAGCGCAACCCCUAUUGUUAGUUGCCAUCAUUCAGUUGGGCACUCUAGCGAGACUGCCGGUAAUAACCGGAGGAAGUGGGGAUGACGUCAAAUCAUCAUGCCCCUUAUGACCUGGGCUACACACGUGCUACAAUGGUUGGUACAACGAGUUGCGAGUCGGUGACGGCGAGCUAAUCUCUUAAAGCCAAUCUCAGUUCGGAUUGUAGGCUGCAACUCGCCUACAUGAAGUCGGAAUCGCUAGUAAUCGCGGAUCAGCACGCCCGCGUCGAUACGUUCCGGCCUU
This 328-nucleotide ribosomal RNA is filed under the name uncultured Streptococcus sp. RNAcentral's name for it is "bacterial SSU rRNA". It matches the Rfam family "Bacterial small subunit ribosomal RNA", at positions 1049 to 1374 of the family's 1533-position model. The record is from RNAcentral. Lineage: Bacteria; Bacillati; Bacillota; Bacilli; Lactobacillales; Streptococcaceae.